Long non-coding RNA from Triticum dicoccoides, 936 nucleotides. RefSeq lists it as uncharacterized. NCBI's taxonomy places the organism in Eukaryota, Viridiplantae, Streptophyta, Magnoliopsida, Poales, Poaceae. The record is from RefSeq and is a predicted model, not a curated record. The transcript is spliced from 4 exons.
ACCAGUCAAAAAAACCUCGCGCCCCUGCUCACCUCUUGCCUUGUUCCGCCGCCCGGAGCCCCCCACCGGCACAUCGCAUCGCAUGGCGGCGGCGGCAGUGGCCUCGAACGGGGCGUGUUCCCGGGCGCCUUGCAUCCAUCUACAGCGAGGUACAGACGAGCCGGGUCACGCACACGCUGCCCCUCCCCUCUAUCCUUGGUCCUCUGCUCCCACUUCACUCUCGCCAACGAGCCAGCCAGCACUGCCCGCUGGAAGCACCGAUGAGAUAGCCAAGCUGUUCUCCAGCCUAUACGGCCAGCCGUCCGUGCCGUGCUACCGUCGGCUGAGCUAGUCACGACGAAGCCGCUCAAGAUGGGCGUUGUGCUUCCUGGUGGCCAGGUUCCAUGGGGACAAUUAAUCGGCGUCUUUGAUUACCUGCAGGAGCGUGCCAAAGGCAGCACACCGUGUAUGGAUUAAGGGAGGCCCGACUCGCGUCAUGAAGGGCAACUGCAUCGAGCUGACUGCUGAUUUUGUGUACCCCUACAGAAACCAGAUGCAAGUUUCAAUGUGCUAUGGUUCUUCUAAGUCAUGUAAUGGCAUCUACCACUUGACAAUAUGUGCUGUGACUAAUGAAGAUGCACAAGACCACAUGCAUUCGUACUACUUUUAGAGAUUUCUGGGGACUUACAAGUGAGCAGCAUUUUGCCUAUUUUGGUCCUGAUUGGCAUCUUCCUAAUGACACUAUUUUUUACAAGGGUUAGCUUCUAUUGGUUCCUCUGUUCGCUUUUUUUCUUCCGAUGAGAGGUUCUGCAUGUUCCCUCAGUGAAGCCUUAUGUUCUCCCCAAAGAAGCAUUAUGUCCCAUAAUAAAUUACCUACGUUUGAGUGCAAGUAAUAUACAACAAUUUGUAUUUUUUUCCUCCAACGAGAAUAUGUGAUUGGUGUUCAGCUAUUUUUUA